Molecule: long non-coding RNA, 723 nt
Organism: Aplysia californica (California sea hare)
Lineage: Eukaryota; Metazoa; Mollusca; Gastropoda; Aplysiida; Aplysiidae
Exons: 3
Source: RefSeq, a predicted model, not a curated record
GGUGCGUGUGUGUGUGUGCGUGUGCGUGUGUCUGCGCGAGAGAGGGGUUUCUCAACACCAGCGUCUACAACACAACUUGAGAAGCAGUUGGUCCAACAGAGAGCGAACGGUCAGGCCUAUAAUUGCUCAGAACACAGCUUCCAACAAUCGCCAGGUUAGCGGUGGCACAUUGUUAUUGACAGGUUGUGUAGGCUAGGUGAGAACUCCGCGCUUUGGACUUCUGCAUAAUCUCAGUCCUGCUAUAAGUAUAUUUCGGUUACAUUUUUUCCUUGUGCACCGCUGUACGUGGAUAAGCAACUUUUGUAAGUCGCAAGUGAUAGUUUCUCUCAGUGGACGUGCUGAAUUCAGAAUUUUCUCCUUUUUUCCUCAAGUGCAUAAUACUUAUUUAUUUCCAUUGAUGUGACGGAUACGUGACUCAACUGGCUGAGACUGCUUUUUACUGUGAACUUGUGAUAUACAGCCCAAAGGCGUUCAUUCACUUCGGGAGUCGAGUUGAGUACUAAGACAGGUUCAACACUGAAUGAUAUGGUUAUCUAAGUCAAGGGCUCAAGGCACGCCUGCUUUUGUCUGCCACUUAUUCGGGCACAAGAUGGCUUACUUCCUGACAUGGGCAACGUUGUCCUUUCUGUGCCUGUGUGUGGCUGCUCAAGGUGAGGUGGUCCCAACAAGCGGAGUGGGGCCCUCACAAGAAGAAUCAGAUUCCUGUAAGUUUUGACAAUGACA